GAUGAACGCUGGCGGCGUGCCUAAUACAUGCAAGUCGAGCGAACGGACGAGAAGCUUGCUUCUCUGAUGUUAGCGGCGGACGGGUGAGUAACACGUGGAUAACCUACCUAUAAGACUGGGAUAACUUCGGGAAACCGGAGCUAAUACCGGAUGAUAUCUUGAACCGCAUGGUUCAAUAGUGAAAGACGGUCUUGCUGUCACUUAUAGAUGGAUCCGCGCUGCAUUAGCUAGUUGGUAAGGUAACGGCUUACCAAGGCAACGAUGCAUAGCCGACCUGAGAGGGUGAUCGGCCACACUGGAACUGAGACACGGUCCAGACUCCUACGGGAGGCAGCAGUAGGGAAUCUUCCGCAAUAGGCGAAAGCCUGACGGAGCAACGCCGCGUGAGUGAUGAAGGUCUUCGGAUCGUAAAACUCUGUUAUUAGGGAAGAACAUAUGUGUAAGUAACUGUGCACAUCUUGACGGUACCUAAUCAGAAAGCCACGGCUAACUACGUG
Molecule: ribosomal RNA, 497 nt
Filed under: uncultured bacterium
Lineage: Bacteria
Description: partial 16S ribosomal RNA
Rfam family: Bacterial small subunit ribosomal RNA
Source: RNAcentral